This 649-nucleotide ribosomal RNA is filed under the name uncultured bacterium. RNAcentral describes it as "bacterial SSU rRNA". It matches the Rfam family "Bacterial small subunit ribosomal RNA", at positions 835 to 1482 of the family's 1533-position model. The record is from RNAcentral.
CGGGUUCUGUGUCGUAGCUAACGCAUUAAGUUCCCCGCCUGGGGAGUGCGGCCGCAAGGCUAAAACUCAAAGGAAUUGACGGGGGCCCGCACAAGCGGCGGAGCAUGCGGAUUAAUUCGAUGCAACGCGAAGAACCUUACCAAGGCUUGACAUAGCCGAGAACGCUGUAGAGAUACAGAACUCUUUGGACACUCGGUUACAGGUGGUGCAUGGUUGUCGUCAGCUCGUGUCGUGAGAUGUUCGGUUAAGUCCGGCAACGAGCGCAACCCUCGUCCUAUGUUGCCAGCACGUUAUGGUGGGAACUCAUGGGAUACUGCCGUGGUCAACACGGAGGAAGGUGGGGAUGACGUCAAGUCAUCAUGCCCCUUAUGUCUUGGGCUUCACGCAUGCUACAAUGGCCGAUACAAAGGGCUGCGAUACCGCGAGGUGGAGCGAAUCCCAAAAAGUCGGUCUCAGUUCGGAUUGGGGUCUGCAACUCGACCCCAUGAAGUCGGAGUCGCUAGUAAUCGCAGAUCAGCAACGCUGCGGUGAAUACGUUCCCGGGCCUUGUACACACCGCCCGUCAAGUCAUGAAAGUCGGUAACACCCGAAGCCGGUGGCCUAACCCUUGUGGAGGGAGCCGUCGAAGGUGGGACUGGUGAUUAGGACU